CACAUGUAAAAGGAAAUUUUUUUGUUCUCACACCCUCAGAAAUUCGAUCAACCAGGAAUCUGUGAACCCUUUUGAUGAGUAUUCACCUCUCCAGAAAGUGAGAACUGGUUCCCACAAACACUGCCUCCUGGGGCAGUGCUAGACAGUUUGGAAGAAAAAAAGUCACUAUAAAAGGCCCUGAAUUUCUGGGGCUAAGGGAAUGUAUUCCAAGAAGGAAGUGGACUUCAAGAAGAAGUUGGACUUCAAGAGGAAAGUCAGCUUCAAGAAGAAGUGGCAGAGAAACAAGCUAAAGAAGAAAUGCAGACCAAGUACCUAAAAGGUACCUUGCUAUCUGUACUACUGCUUCAUCGCAUUGCCUCAUUCAUACUAUAUAGAUGCCAAGAUAACUAGAAGGUCACCAUGAAGAGACUAUUGGAAAAAUGUUGAGCAUAGACUAGAUGUUUUAUACCCAACAGUGACAAUAAAAGUAAUAGACAUGAUAAGCA
Molecule: long non-coding RNA, 485 nt
Filed under: Monodelphis domestica (gray short-tailed opossum)
Lineage: Eukaryota; Metazoa; Chordata; Mammalia; Didelphimorphia; Didelphidae
Description: lncRNA (ENSMODG00000050060.1)
Source: RNAcentral